CCUACGGGCGGCAGCAGUGGGGAAUAUUGGACAAUGGGGGGAACCCUGAUCCAGCCAUGCCGCGUGUGUGAAGAAGGCCCUCGGGUUGUAAAGCACUUUCAGUGAGGAAGAACGCCUGGUGGUUAAUACCCAUCAGGAAAGACAUCACUCACAGAAGAAGCACCGGCUAACUCCGUGCCAGCAGCCGCGGUAAUACCGAGGGUGCGAGCGUUAAUCGGAAUUACUGGGCGUAAAGCGCGCGUAGGUGGCUUGAUAAGCCGGUUGUGAAAGCCCCGGGCUCAACCUGGGAACGGCAUCCGGAACUGUCAAGCUAGAGUGCAGGAGAGGAAGGUAGAAUUCCCGGUGUAGCGGUGAAAUGCGUAGAGAUCGGGAGGAAUACCAGUGGCGAAGGCGGCCUUCUGGACUGACACUGACACUGAGGUGCGAAAGCGUGGGUAGCAAACAGGAUUAGAUACCCCGGUAGUC
Molecule: ribosomal RNA, 465 nt
Filed under: Vreelandella stevensii
Lineage: Bacteria; Pseudomonadati; Pseudomonadota; Gammaproteobacteria; Oceanospirillales; Halomonadaceae
Description: partial 16S ribosomal RNA
Rfam family: Bacterial small subunit ribosomal RNA
Source: RNAcentral